RNAcentral lists this non-coding RNA (23 nucleotides) under Cricetulus griseus (Chinese hamster). The record is from RNAcentral. Lineage: Eukaryota; Metazoa; Chordata; Mammalia; Rodentia; Cricetidae.
AAUCUGGCCCUGGAAAACCCUGG